RNAcentral lists this long non-coding RNA (2059 nucleotides) under Scophthalmus maximus (turbot). RNAcentral's name for it is "lncRNA (ENSSMAG00000031409.1)". Lineage: Eukaryota; Metazoa; Chordata; Actinopteri; Pleuronectiformes; Scophthalmidae. The record is from RNAcentral.
UCCCCCCCAUCAGAAACUCUGCAGGAUUCUCCCUCCGCCUCGGUCCAGACUAGAGGAAUAUCUCCGGGUCCAGGGCGCCGGUCGUCCGGAGCCACGCAGCGUCCGAGGGGAUGGUGGCCGCGGCGCGCGUCCGCGCAACUCUUUCCGAGUGUUCGGCAUUUUACGCAGGCGAGCGUCUCGACUUGUGAUCGGGAGAGAAGGGGCCGUGGAGACGCGGACCGCAGCAGCCGGGCUCCCCCCUUUUCACAUGGAGAUUUUGCGGACUCGGUCGCACUGCAAAUCUUGAAGAAGAAGAAGAAGAAGAAGAAGAAAAAAAAAGCCGGGGGAACCGGGGCCCUGCCGAUUCCUCCCGCACGGCUCCCACAUGCCCCCGAUUCCAUUUAUUCGAAAAAAAAUGCGUCUGCGUUCCGAGCGGCAGCCGCCACAUCCGCGGACGACGGCGCAGCGGCCCGCGUGAGCCUGCCGACUCACAGCUCCCGAGCCCGUAGAGCUGCAGCGAUGAGGAGGACGAGCGGCACAACAGAAACAGCUUGUACUCGACGGAGGACGGUUAAUGACACCGCGACCGGGUGCGGACAUCAUUUGAAAUGAUUUUGACGACACAUUGCAACACUGGGGUUUCCCAUGCCUAGAGCGCAUUUUUUUCUUUACGUACAAUUGGGAUGGGAUACAAUUCUUUUUGUAACAAAACCCCCCGUUUUUAUCUGACAAAAGAAUUUGCUCAAAUGCAUUUACCCAAAUUAUCGCAAAAUUGGCAAGGUAAUGAUCUAAUUAGAUAAGAGAUUAGGGAAUCGCACCUCACAUUCGGUGCUCGCCUUCAAUUCCUUUUGUUUAAUUCGCCACUGAUUUUUCGGGAAACAGAGAAAGUGUUUACUUGGUAAACUUCCAAUUAACUGAUUCCAAUUAACUGAUAGUGUAAUUUAAAGUCUUUUAGCAGGCGAACAGCUGCCGAGGUGAACACGCAGAAAGUUUUACAAACAACCAAACCACCACGGAGUGAUUAUUUGAAUUUGUUUUCUUUUUAUCCGUGUUAUUUUCAACCUGGCACUAAAUAAAUUAGGUUUUCUUUUCCCCUUCCACACCUGGUGUCCCUGAGCCUUACUGCUUGGUCCUUGACAUACGUAGACAAUAUAUCAAUAUUCAUUUUUUGGGGGGGGGGCUUUAUUAAUUAGGCUUAGAGUUGUCGUCUUUUACUGCAACCAAAUUACUUUAUCUCCAGGAGAUAUUCAUAAAAUGGUGGACUGGCGAAAUAAAAUAGUAUUUGUGACCACUGCGUAAUUGGCAACCUGCAAAAGGAGAAGAAGGAAGAGGGAGAAAAUACGAAUCGUGAGCUGAAGUGCACGACAGAAGGCACAGUAGAAGCGUGCGGCUCUCAUCGGAUGCUGAUUGUAGGAUGUUUUUCAAAGUGCAGCGGGGCCCCGAUGUGAAAGGGCAGCUCUCACAGACCUCAGUGCUCUUCUGCUGCGCUGAGUGGCAGCCCUAUUAUCUGCCGCCGAGUUCACCCCUGCAUUGUGUUUUAUUCCCCCCCCCGAAUUUAUGUGGGAGUUGUUAAUUUAGGUAGGAGUUAUUAUGAAGUAAGCAGAUAAGUGGCGUUUUAGUAUCUUCACAUGAACCAAAUUAUAGCUGUAGGUGAUUGCUCUCUUUUUUUGGUAAAUGAAAAUGAAAAUGACGUCGUUGUUGUUGUUGUUUUUUGGAAUCUUUCUCGACACAACACAUCCGCAUUGUGAAAACCACAGACGUUGUAUGGUCUGUAGAUACAAAUUUAAAACCAUAGGGGCUGUGUAGUAACGCGUUCUUUCUCCUUUGUGCAGCUUUUGGGCGCAUUGCCGCCACUCUCAGGCAGCAGAAAUGCAUUACACAUUAGCAGUUAAAGGGGCAGUAAGAGAUUCUAAAGCGAUAACACUUUUUGUAAAAAUCUGCGUAGAUUUCCUCACCAUUCAUCAGCUGACGCUUUUGUGUGCGCGCCAGAAAAAAAAAAAAAAGAGCUUUUUUCCCCGUGGUUUUUAAAAAACCCGGUGCGGACCGCACCACACAACGAUGUGAGGGCCACUUGUGCACG